Pogona vitticeps (central bearded dragon) is the source of this 183-nucleotide non-coding RNA. Lineage: Eukaryota; Metazoa; Chordata; Lepidosauria; Squamata; Agamidae. The record is from RefSeq and is a predicted model, not a curated record.
CUUAAUUCUUCCCUGGACACCAGUCUGCAUCAGCACCAUGGGUUAUAGAGAGGGUGUUUUUUGCUGUCUUCUGGAACUUCUUCUUGUACCCUGGCCAGAGUUUCUGGGCACCUCUGGCUGGAGUGCUGAAGGAGCUCUGCUUAAUAUAUGCAAACUCCCUAAACAAGAGGGAAUAUGUAUUGA